GAUGAACGCUGGCGGCGUGCCUAAUACAUGCAAGUCGAGCGAACGGACGAGAAGCUUGCUUCUCUGAUGUUAGCGGCGGACGGGUGAGUAACACGUGGAUAACCUACCUAUAAGACUGGGAUAACUUCGGGAAACCGUAGCUAAUACCGGAUAAUAUUUUGAACCGCAUGGUUCAAAAGUGAAAGACGGUCUUGCUGUCACUUAUAGAUGGAUCCGCGCUGCAUUAGCUAGUUGGUAAGGUAACGGCUUACCAAGGCAACGAUGCAUAGCCGACCUGAGAGAGUGAUCGGCCACACGGGAACUGAGACACGGUCCAGACUCCUACGGGAGGCAGCAGUAGGGAAUCUUCCGCAAUGGGCGAAAGCCUGACGGAGCAACGCCGCGUGAGUGAUGAAGGUCUUCGGAUCAUAAAACUCUGUUAUUAGGGAAGAACAUAUGUGUAAGUAACUGUGCACAUCUUGACGGUACCUAAUCAGAAAGCCACGGCUAACUACGUG
This 497-nucleotide ribosomal RNA is filed under the name uncultured bacterium. RNAcentral describes it as "partial 16S ribosomal RNA". It matches the Rfam family "Bacterial small subunit ribosomal RNA", at positions 28 to 507 of the family's 1533-position model. The record is from RNAcentral.